UACGAAGGGUGCAAGCGUUAAUCGGAAUUACUGGGCGUAAAGCGUGCGUAGGCGGUUCGUUAAGUCUGUCGUGAAAGCCCUGGGCUCAACCUGGGAAUGGCGAUGGAUACUGGCGAGCUAGAGUGUGAUAGAGGAUGGCGGAAUUCCCGGUGUAGCGGUGAAAUGCGUAGAGAUCGGGAGGAACAUCUGUGGCGAAGGCGGCCAUCUGGAUCAACACUGACGCUGAGGCACGAAAGCGUGGGGAGCAAACAGG
Molecule: ribosomal RNA, 253 nt
Filed under: uncultured bacterium
Lineage: Bacteria
Description: partial 16S ribosomal RNA
Rfam family: Bacterial small subunit ribosomal RNA
Source: RNAcentral